GAGGAAUAUUGGUCAAUGGGCGAGAGCCUGAACCAGCCAAAUCGCGUGAAGGAAGACUGCCUUAUGGGUUGUAAACUUCUUUUAUACAGGAAUAAAAAAGGGGACGUGUCCCUUAUUGCAUGUACUGUAUGAAUAAGCAUCGGCUAACUCCGUGCCAGCAGCCGCGGUAAUACGGAGGAUGCGAGCGUUAUCCGGAUUUAUUGGGUUUAAAGGGUGCGCAGGCGGGCUUUUAAGUCAGCGGUGAAAUCUCGGGGCUUAACUCCGAAACUGCCGUUGAAACUGGGAGUCUUGAGUAUGGAUGAAGUAGGCGGAAUUCGUUGUGUAGCGGUGACAUGCUUAGAUAUAACGAGGAACUCCGAUUGCGUAGGCAGCUUACUAAGCCAUAACUGACGCUCAAGCACGAAAGCGUGGGGAUCAAACA
This 421-nucleotide ribosomal RNA is filed under the name uncultured Dysgonomonas sp. RNAcentral describes it as "bacterial SSU rRNA". It matches the Rfam family "Bacterial small subunit ribosomal RNA", at positions 356 to 774 of the family's 1533-position model. The record is from RNAcentral. Lineage: Bacteria; Pseudomonadati; Bacteroidota; Bacteroidia; Bacteroidales; Dysgonomonadaceae.